RNAcentral lists this ribosomal RNA (540 nucleotides) under Penicillium commune. Its description in RNAcentral is "eukaryotic LSU rRNA". The stretch from base 160 to 312 matches the Rfam family "5.8S ribosomal RNA". Lineage: Eukaryota; Fungi; Ascomycota; Eurotiomycetes; Eurotiales; Aspergillaceae. The record is from RNAcentral.
GGGUCCAACCUCCCACCCGUGUUUAUUUUACCUUGUUGCUUCGGCGGGCCCGCCUUAACUGGCCGCCGGGGGGCUUACGCCCCCGGGCCCGCGCCCGCCGAAGACACCCUCGAACUCUGUCUGAAGAUUGAAGUCUGAGUGAAAAUAUAAAUUAUUUAAAACUUUCAACAACGGAUCUCUUGGUUCCGGCAUCGAUGAAGAACGCAGCGAAAUGCGAUACGUAAUGUGAAUUGCAAAUUCAGUGAAUCAUCGAGUCUUUGAACGCACAUUGCGCCCCCUGGUAUUCCGGGGGGCAUGCCUGUCCGAGCGUCAUUGCUGCCCUCAAGCCCGGCUUGUGUGUUGGGCCCCGUCCCCCGAUCUCCGGGGGACGGGCCCGAAAGGCAGCGGCGGCACCGCGUCCGGUCCUCGAGCGUAUGGGGCUUUGUCACCCGCUCUGUAGGCCCGGCCGGCGCUUGCCGAUCAACCCAAAUUUUUAUCCAGGUUGACCUCGGAUCAGGUAGGGAUACCCGCUGAACUUAAGCAUAUCAAUAAGCGGAAGAA